Molecule: ribosomal RNA, 376 nt
Filed under: uncultured bacterium
Lineage: Bacteria
Description: bacterial SSU rRNA
Rfam family: Bacterial small subunit ribosomal RNA
Source: RNAcentral
CACGUAGGAGGCAAGCGUUAUUCGGAUUUACUGGGUGUAAAGCGCGUGUAGGCGGUUCGGAAAGUUGGAUGUGAAAGCUCCCGGCUUAACUGGGAGAGGCCGUUCAAAACUUCCGGGCUAGAGAUUGGUAGAGGAAGAUGGAAUUCCGAGUGUAGUGGUGAAAUGCGCAGAUAUUCGGAGGAACACCAGUGGCGAAAGCGAUCUUCUAGACCAAAACUGACGCUCAGACGCGAAAGCUAGGGUAGCAAACGGGAUUAGAGACCCCGGUAGUCCUAGCCGUAAACGAUGUAGACUUGGCGUUGGUGGGUUCAAAUCCAUCAGUGCCGAAGCAAACGCGAUAAGUCUACCACCUGGGGACUACGGCCGCAAGGUUAAA